RNAcentral lists this small RNA (125 nucleotides) under Marmota monax (woodchuck). The record is from RNAcentral. Lineage: Eukaryota; Metazoa; Chordata; Mammalia; Rodentia; Sciuridae.
UCUGGGCGUGGUGGCCCACACUUGUAAUCCCAGAGGCUCAGGAAGCUGAGACAGGAGGAUCACAAGUUCAAAGCCAGCCUCAGCAAAAUCAAGGCACUAAGCUACUCAGUGAGACCCUGUCUCUA